This 207-nucleotide ribosomal RNA is filed under the name uncultured bacterium. RNAcentral describes it as "partial 16S ribosomal RNA". It matches the Rfam family "Bacterial small subunit ribosomal RNA", at positions 568 to 774 of the family's 1533-position model. The record is from RNAcentral.
UGCGUAGGCGGCGCGGAAAGUUGGGUGUGAAAGCCCUCGGCUCAACCGAGGAAUGGCGCCCAAAACUUCCGUGCUCGAGGAAGACAGAGGUGAGCGGAACUCAGGGUGGAGCGGUGAAAUGCGUUGAUAUCCUGAGGAACACCGGUGGCGAAAGCGGCUCACUGGGUCUUUUCUGACGCUGAGGCACGAAAGCUAGGGUAGCGAACG